CCCGCGCACGCCCCGCCCCUCGCGUCCGGAGCGUCCGCACUCGCACUUUCCACACUCUUCUUAAUUGCUUUCCAGCCCUCACCCGACUCUUUUGCAAAAGGAAACCUCCAGACACAGAGCAUGAGCGGGGGAGGGGCAGAGAGAGGAGACAGAAUCCAAAACAGCCUCCGGGCUCUGAGCUGCCAGCACACUACCCGUCCUAGGGCUCGAACUCGUCAACCUGGAGAUCAUGACCUGAGCCGAAGUUGGACGCUAAACCGAUUGAGCCACCAGGUGCCCCAAUGCAUACUAUAUUCUUAACAGUAAUACCUAACUUUGUCUUUUUUUUUUUUUUUUUUUGGCAUUUCUAGGCUAUGCAGUUCCUCUGCAAGUUUUUUCAAAUAGUUGCAAAUCUCCAAAAAUUUUACCAAUAUAUUUAUUGAAAAAAAGUCCACGUGUAAGUGGACGUGUGCAGUUCAAACCCAUGUUGUUCAAGGGUCAAUUGUACUUGAAACCACCUUUUUAAUAUAAAAGCAUCUAAGACUUAUAAAAGAUUAAUGUAAGAUACAUGAAAGCCUCAGCAAGAAUCUCAGUACCUUCUUUCUCUGGUUUUGUCCAGUACCUCCAGCCUGGUUUCUUCCCUGCACUUGGGGUUAUGGUGGGGGGAUUGGGCAAGUGUGGUGCUGGGGCAGGUGUUCCUCUGUGUCAUUUCCAGGCAGUCCUGCAGGUGCCGGAUGUUACACUGUAGUGGGAAAGAGGUGGCACAAAAAUGGCGGAAAAAGAAAAGGGGAUCUGAGUGGAGUAGUGACAUUGAUGCACUUUCCCACCUCCUGGUCUUUGCUUAAAUGUCAUCUUCUCAGUGGGUCUUUUCAGACCUAUUUAAAAUUGCAACUCAUUUCCCAAUCUCUAUCCAUGGUCUGUGCUUUGCUUUGUUUUGUUUUUCUAUAGCUCUUAUCACCACCUGGCAUACUAUGUAUUUAUUUUGUUGCCUUUUUCUUCCCAUCAGAUUGAAAGCUCUUUCAGGGUGGGGACUUUUCAUAUCCGGAACAGUGUAUGGUACAUCCACGUGCUCAAUGUUUGUGGAGUGAAUAAAUAGUUACCUCCUUUUC
Long non-coding RNA from Neofelis nebulosa (Clouded leopard), 1088 nucleotides. RefSeq lists it as uncharacterized. The record is from RefSeq and is a predicted model, not a curated record. The transcript has 2 exons. Lineage: Eukaryota; Metazoa; Chordata; Mammalia; Carnivora; Felidae.